This 271-nucleotide unclassified non-coding RNA is filed under the name uncultured fungus. RNAcentral describes it as "partial contains 5.8S ribosomal RNA, internal transcribed spacer 2, and large subunit ribosomal RNA". The stretch from base 1 to 52 matches the Rfam family "5.8S ribosomal RNA", at positions 103 to 154 of the family's 154-position model. The record is from RNAcentral. Lineage: Eukaryota; Fungi.
AACGCACAUUGCGCCCGCCAGUAUUCUGGCGGGCAUGCCUGUCCGAGCGUCGUUUUCAACCCUCGAGCCCUCUUUCCGGGCCCGGCGUUGGGGAUCGACCGCCGCGAAUCCCGCCGGCGGUCGGCCCCGAAAUCGAGUGGCGGCCUCGCCGUAGCCUCCUCUGCGUAGUAGCACACACCUCGCACUGGACGGUCGGCGCGGCCACGCCGUGAAACCCCCCACGACUGAAAAGGUUGACCUCGGAUCAGGUAGGACUACCCGCUGAACUUAA